GACGAACGCUGGCGGCGGGCCUAAUACAUGCAAGUCGAGCGCAGGAAACUGACGGAACUCUUCGGAGGGAAGGCAGUGGAAUGAGCGGCGGACGGGUGAGUAACACGUAAGGAACCUGCCUCAAGGAUUGGGAUAACUCCGAGAAAUCGGAGCUAAUACCGGAUAGUUCAUCGGACCGCAUGGUCCGUUGAUGAAAGGCGCUCCGGCGUCACCUUGAGAUGGCCUUGCGGUGCAUUAGCUAGUUGGUGGGGUAACGGCCCACCAAGGCGACGAGGAAGAGCCGACCUGGGAGGGUGAUCGGCCACACUGGGACUGAGACACGGCCCAGACUCCUACGGGAGGCAGCAGUAGGGAAUCUUCCACAAUGGACGAAAGUCUGAUGGAGCAACGCCGCGUGAGUGAUGAAGGUUUUCGGAUCGUAAAACUCUGUUGUAAGGGAAGAACACGUACGAGAGGAAAUGCUCGUACCUUGACGGUACCUUACGAGGAAGCCACGGCUAACUACGUGCCAGCAGCCGCUGUAA
Molecule: ribosomal RNA, 524 nt
Filed under: uncultured bacterium
Lineage: Bacteria
Description: partial 16S ribosomal RNA
Rfam family: Bacterial small subunit ribosomal RNA
Source: RNAcentral